ACCCCUGUGAUGCAAUUGGUAGACAUCACUCCCCCAGAACGAGUGUCUUGCAGGUUCAAAUCCUGCCAGGGGUA
Molecule: non-coding RNA, 74 nt
Organism: Lyngbya majuscula
Lineage: Bacteria; Bacillati; Cyanobacteriota; Cyanophyceae; Oscillatoriales; Microcoleaceae
Source: Rfam